RNAcentral lists this ribosomal RNA (253 nucleotides) under uncultured bacterium. Its description in RNAcentral is "partial 16S ribosomal RNA". It matches the Rfam family "Bacterial small subunit ribosomal RNA", at positions 524 to 776 of the family's 1533-position model. The record is from RNAcentral.
UACGUAGGGUGCGAGCGUUAAUCGGAAUUACUGGGCGUAAAGCGUGCGCAGGCGGUGAUGUAAGACCGAUGUGAAAUCCCCGGGCUUAACCUGGGAACUGCAUUGGUGACUGCAUUGCUGGAGUAUGGCAGAGGGGGGUGGAAUUCCACGUGUAGCAGUGAAAUGCGUAGAGAUGUGGAGGAACACCGAUGGCGAAGGCAGCCCCCUGGGCCAAUACUGACGCUCAUGCACGAAAGCGUGGGGAUCAAACAGG